UCUAAAUUUCUGUUCCCCAAAGACUCGACAUUGCAUUGUAAAUUGGAAGGAUGAACACAAGGGAUAUACUAAAAUAUUGCACACUCUGUUUCCACCAAGUUUUGCCAAAUACAAGAAAACCUUAGUAUUUCAAAAAUUAAAAAAGUUUUGUAAACAGUUAAUUUUUAAAUAUGGCCAUAUCAAUGAUAAUUCAUGUCAGUCAAGUGCUGACUACUGGGACGGUUAAACCCUCGGGGAAUUAAAACUCCACUCCAGCAUUGGCAUCGACCCAGUGGUUGUAAAUAAACUCA
Molecule: long non-coding RNA, 290 nt
Filed under: Mytilus galloprovincialis (Mediterranean mussel)
Lineage: Eukaryota; Metazoa; Mollusca; Bivalvia; Mytilida; Mytilidae
Source: RNAcentral